Molecule: ribosomal RNA, 402 nt
Filed under: uncultured bacterium
Lineage: Bacteria
Description: bacterial SSU rRNA
Rfam family: Bacterial small subunit ribosomal RNA
Source: RNAcentral
UGGGGAAUAUUGGACAAUGGGCGCAAGCCUGAUCCAGCCAUGCCGCGUGAGUGAUGAAGGCCCUAGGGUUGUAAAGCUCUUUUGUGCGGGAAGAUAAUGACGGUACCGCAAGAAUAAGCCCCGGCUAACUUCGUGCCAGCAGCCGCGGUAAUACGAAGGGGGCUAGCGUUGCUCGGAAUCACUGGGCGUAAAGGGUGCGUAGGCGGGUUUCUAAGUCAGAGGUGAAAGCCUGGAGCUCAACUCCAGAACUGCCUUUGAUACUGGAAGUCUUGAGUUCGGGAGAGGUGAGUGGAACUGCUAGUGUAGAGGUGAAAUUCGUAGAUAUUCGCAAAAACACCAGUGGCGAAGGCGGCUCACUGGCCCGAUACUGACGCUGAGGCACGAAAGCGUGGGGAGCAAACA